GAGAAAAUUAGCUCAGUUACUUGGUUGGGACAACUUAAUUAGAUUUAUACGAAAUUAGGUUGAAUAUCUUCUGAAAAUGACGAAAACAAGGGCUGCCAAAAAACCCACCUCCAACCGAGAAAUCUCUUCAUCUCUCUCAGCCCGCCUCCGACGCAAGCCCUCCGCCAUCGCGACCGCCAUCGAGUUCGUUUUUGCUGCAGCCCUCAGCUAACUAUUUGUCUCAAGCCCGCCGCUGCCAAGCUGCCGUCGUACGUCCAAAAAUUGCAGAUAUGAAGUCAUGGAGGAGACGACAGAAACGUCAAGAAAUCCGUUGAUGUCAAGUUUUUUUCUGCAAACUGAUGAAAAAAACGAUGAACGAAGGCGGUUUGAGUUGAACGAAGAAAGCAGUCGUUGGAUUGGGACGAAGAUAGGCGAAUGAUGAACGAAAGCGAACGAUAAACGAAGGCGCGGUG
Molecule: long non-coding RNA, 452 nt
Organism: Mercurialis annua (annual mercury)
Lineage: Eukaryota; Viridiplantae; Streptophyta; Magnoliopsida; Malpighiales; Euphorbiaceae
Exons: 3
Source: RefSeq, a predicted model, not a curated record